UUAACUUCCAUAUUUUAAAUUAUAAAAAUAAACUGGGAAACUAAAGCAAAUGUGCAUCCUUGCGGGACUCCAAGCCUGGGCACUGGCCGCCUGCGUGCACUCCUCUAAGUGUGCAUAACACGCCCGCAGGGGUUGCCAGCAGGAAGCCUGCGUUAACUUUAUCUCGUGGUGGGGAAGGUGGAGCCCACGCCCACACCUAGCAAGCUGGAGAGGGAGGUUUCGUGAGGAAAUAAAUAUGGGGCACGGAAACACAGUCUUCCGCAUGGAGUCCCCAGAGGCAGUGCAUUUUAAACCCUAAAUGUGGAUUACUGAGUGUCCGAGUGGAGUUUAAAUUCCGUUUGAAGAAACUGGAUAAGGAGUGUUUGUGUGGGUGUUUGUGCGCACGGCUAUAUGGGAGCAGGCACAGGAUCUCAGUGUUGGGGGUGUCCCUAGUGUGCGAUGUCCUCCUCUCGCCACAUUAGGAGAACUCCUUUAGCUCCCCCAAACUGGCCCCCGUAACUACCCUGCCUCGGUUCGUAAGGGGUUAACCAAAACCGAUUCCGAGGACAGACAACCCGCCCCCACAGUCACCCCCACCCACACUCGCUUCCGACCCUGGCCAAGCCCCCAAAUCUUCCCCGGGGACCCCCCACCCCGCAGCCCACCCACCGGAGCGCACAGCUCCUCACCUGAAGGGCCGGGCCACGUCCGGCCUCCCGAAGAGGCUGCGUGCGUCAGGCGGACCACCGCACGUGUCCUCGGCGGCGCGGAGCAGGUUUUUAGUGGAUUCCUUAGGACUUUCUGUAUAUGUAUACAAGAUCAUGUCAUCUCCCUGCAAGCUAUUUGGCAUAUGAAGGUCUUGACCUGAGAAAACCAUCUUGGAUAACCGUGGCAAGGAGAAGGAAAAAUGCAACACCUAGGAGAUUUCAGUAAACAGUAGAAUCAUGCCAACCUAAUCUGUGUUAAAAUGCUUGGAAUGUGGGAGCCGCUGAUGAUGCCUGUUGUCUGUGUGUCUGACUGAAUCCUUUCUUUACUCAGAGCAGCAAAGCAAAGCCUGGGAACCAGGCCAAAUGCCUGCCACUUACCUUAAAUUGAUCAGCCACUUUGAGAUUAAAACUCCUGAAAGCUGCCACACCGUGAAAACAAGGCCCCCUUCACAUUAAAGGCAAAUUGCGACUUUGAGUUUGCUGUGAUCUUUUUUCCAUUUUAUCCAGUUUUUCACAGUGCACACUUUUUUUUUCCUUUCCAUUUAUGCUCCAAUGUAGAAGCCAAUAGUUACAGCAUCUUGGCCAAGCAUUCAUUAAGGUUUAUAAGACCAAAAUUUAUGGUUAUUUAGGAGUUGGCACAAAGACAGACUGUUGCUGGAAAAAGAAAAAGAAAUACAGGUGGGAAAUAUAAGCCUCAACAAAGGCCCAUACUAUACAGUAGUGUGCUGGGCUCACAGGAGUGUCUGCAAGGAAAAUACU
Molecule: long non-coding RNA, 1445 nt
Filed under: Equus asinus (donkey)
Lineage: Eukaryota; Metazoa; Chordata; Mammalia; Perissodactyla; Equidae
Description: lncRNA (ENSEASG00005030209.1)
Source: RNAcentral